RNAcentral lists this ribosomal RNA (497 nucleotides) under uncultured bacterium. RNAcentral describes it as "partial 16S ribosomal RNA". It matches the Rfam family "Bacterial small subunit ribosomal RNA", at positions 28 to 507 of the family's 1533-position model. The record is from RNAcentral.
GAUGAACGCUGGCGGCGUGCCUAAUACAUGCAAGUCGAGCGAACGGACGAGAAGCUUGCUUCUCUGAUGUUAGCGGCGGACGGGUGAGUAACACGUGGAUAACCUACCUAUAAGACUGGGAUAACUUCGGGAAACCGUAGCUAAUACCGGAUAAUAUUUUGAACCGCAUGGUUCAAAAGUGAAAGACGGUCUUGCUGUCACUUAUAGAUGGAUCCGCGCUGCAUUAUCUAGUUGGUAAGGUAACGGCUUACCAAGGCAACGAUGCAUAGCCGACCUGAGAGGGUGAUCGGCCACACUGGAACUGAGACACGGUCCAGACUCCUACGGGAGGCAGCAGUAGGGAAUCUUCCGCAAUGGGCGAAAGCCUGACGGAGCAACGCCGCGUGAGUGAUGAAGGUCUUCGGAUCGUAAAACUCUGUUAUUAGGGAAGAACAUAUGUGUAAGUAACUGUGCACAUCUUGACGGUACCUAUUCAGAAAGCCACGGCUAACUACGUG